This is a long non-coding RNA of Bubalus bubalis (water buffalo), 1133 nucleotides long. RefSeq lists it as uncharacterized. The transcript is spliced from 4 exons. The record is from RefSeq and is a predicted model, not a curated record. NCBI's taxonomy places the organism in Eukaryota, Metazoa, Chordata, Mammalia, Artiodactyla, Bovidae.
CAUCAAUUUUAGACGUUUUCUUCACCCCAAAAAAGAAACCUCGGGAGGAUUCUUGGAAGACAGUGGAGUACAAAACAGCGGCAAUCUGUCUGUCUCCCAUCUGGACAACAUUGUACAGGCAGGCUCUGUCUGACACAGCUAUUUUGGAACUCUGGAGUCUAUUGAAGUCUCAUCCAGGGGAAAGCUUGGAUGGUAAACUGUAGUUAAUUUUAGCUAAAAGCGUGACUUUCUUAUUACUCUAUUUGGAGAUUAAAUAUAGUUUAAAGAGAUGCAUAAGCGUAAAUUGACAUAGACUGUGGCAGCUUUGUAAUGAUUUGACUCACUUAGAUUAGAACUACACUUCCCAGAAUUCCUUUUUCAGCCACAGGAGAGAUUCUUAUGGGAGAUUUAAGGAUGGGGUGGGGAGAGGGGACGUAGCCGCCAUUUAGCAGCUCCUAAUGCUAUCUCUUUUCUGCUGGCUCACUUCGUUAGUCCUGCCACUGCUCCACCUUCCUCUGAAUCCUCCUUCCUCCUGGGCCAGGUUUGAGCGUCAUUCAAAGACAACAUCCUGAUGGAGACUGUUUCAUCUCCCCAGAGUACAUAAGAUCAAAUCCAGAUACAAGUUCCUUCAUAGAUAUUCACCUAUCACCUGCUUCUCUGCUGAUAGGAGCUGAUCCUGAAAUUGCCAAGGGCCACUGUUUAUCCCAGCUGGGAGGAAUCAGCUUGAGAAGGAGGUCAACACAGAGUCACAUUGAGCAGGAAAAAGGAAGAGAGACACACUUCUAGUGUGGUCCUCCGAGCACCUGGAUCCAACUACAUCUGAAGUCAAACACAUCUGGACUUUUAGUGUACCAUGUCAAAUCUCCCACCAUGGGCAAUUUCAAGCCACCAAUGUGAUUUCAACCAAAAUUCCUGAAAAAUUCACCGAUCAGUUCUUGCCAGCUGCUAGGAGAGAGCUCCAGCACACCACUGUAGCCGACACCCCAGAUCCCAGCACAGAUUUGUUGAAUGAGUGAAAGAAUUAAUGAAAUUAGUCCCACAGAAUUAGUUUUCCCUCUCUGUGCCUAUCCAUGGCACACUCUCCAUCUGUCAGAUUUUUUUUUUUUAAAAAGCAGACCCAGAGGGAUGGAAUGGGGAGGGAGGAGGGAGGAGGG